RNAcentral lists this small RNA (98 nucleotides) under Arabidopsis thaliana (thale cress). Its description in RNAcentral is "ATSL264960". The record is from RNAcentral. Lineage: Eukaryota; Viridiplantae; Streptophyta; Magnoliopsida; Brassicales; Brassicaceae.
UGAACGAUAGUAGUAUUAGGAUGGGUGACCUCCCAGGAAGUCUUUGUGUUGUAUCCCUUUUUUUUUGGUUAAGAUUAUAUGAUUCUAUUACUUGUAGA